UAUUUUCAGUCUGUAUAGGUAAAAAUAAAAAGAAAAUACCAAGCGCUAAUGUUGUUUGAAGAUGAUGAAGAAGUCUCUGCUGACACCAUCUUGCUUGUAUAAGAUGUUUAUUACAAAAUAAAACAGUAUCAUAUCAAGCACCAUGUAAUACCUGAGACGGGAUCCGUGCCAAUUCUGAAGUGUCCCCUUCAGAGCAGUAUAACCAACUGCUUAUAUAGGGUGGUUGUUUUCGAAAAAGGAAACAGAACAUAUGGUCCUUUUUACAAUGAUCUCAUAUAUCUGGAACUAAGAGAGGAAGGGAGAGGAAGGGAAAGGGGCCUUGACCUUUGGACCAGGGGCCCCCUAACUUAAACAUUCCAAACCUGCAAAUUCAGAUAACACAUGGAACUCUAGAUGCCACACUAAUUAAAUUUUUGAGCAAAAAAUGGUCAAAUUCAUACAGUUAUGAAAAUUCUGUUAGCAUUGAACAUGUCAAGGCCUAGGGCCUCCUGAAAAUAACAACAUAGGGCAUAUGUAACUGUCUUGUAAAUACCAAAAUAGACAAAAUUACAUUAGGGUUGCAGGAGGUAAAAACAUUCACUUACAAACAAACACACACACACACACACACACACACACACACACACACACAUGCACACCUACACACAAUUAUCAGAUUUAACAACCAAAAGCAAUCACAACACAAAAGCAAAGUCCAGAUGUGUUAAGAGCGAAUUAUUGGGCCCUGUGGACUUCUGGACUUCAUGAACGCAUGACUCCUCUCAUAUCACAUUGUUCUGGAUUGACACUGCUUGAUCUGACAUUAAAACUUGACAGCACACAGAAGUCUACAGACUUACCAGGAUCACACACUGUACAGCUAAAGCAGUCUGCAAAGGUUCAUCAGUGUUCAGUGUCCCCAACCUGGCAACCUGCGUGAGCAUCGAGUCUGGUGAGGAGGGGAGACAACUCUCUCCAAUAUUUUGGAUUUGGACUGCAGUAUCCAGUUUAAACGCUUGGUGUUAAGGUUGUUGAGUGCCAUGUUUUAAAGGAUUCUGUGGCAUGUUCUAAGUCUCUGGUGAAGAAUGUCCACUGUAAAAGAGAAGCCAUCAUAAAAGCUCUUUGUCUGCACCUGAAUGAUGAUGGAUUUCUUAUCAAGGAGUACAGGGACAUUCAUGGUGAAGACAUAUUGAGAGACCAGCACAGCACUGAAAUGGACAUUUAUGUCAUCAGAAGAGGGUGGAGCUCUUGGAGAAUAUGAAGAUGGUCAUGCUGAUGGAAACAUUAUUGUAGGAAACAUCAAAUCAGUUGCACCAGACUGCAGUAAAGCUUGGAGUAAUUUAUGCACUGAAUAUGGCUCAUCACAAUGGGUGGAAAUGCUGCUAUGAAUUUGUACAUUCCUUAUGCCAAAGGAUGGUGCAAAGCUCUCCCCUAAUAUUCUUGGUUUGGAGAACAAAAUCGUGGGAUAGUCAAAGUAGGCUGUCCAUUCUGGAAAUAUAUGGAACUUUUCACACUAGCUUCUGCUUUGAUUGAAAAGCAAUGGGCUUUUGAACAAAUCUUAAGUCACAUAAAACAAAAUUCAGUGACAUUUCAAUGGUUUUCUAUACAAUAUGUCAAGAUCCUUGUCAUGUUUAAGAUCAAUUUGUCUUAAAACAGCAUGCAGUUAAAUUUUAGUCUUUUUUGCUAAAGCUGUACAAAGUAGCCUUUUGAACAAUUUGAGCUCCAAAUUUUCACCCCAAAUUUGCAUAGUCUAACAAGCAAAAUAAGGUUGUGCUAACUAGAGGCAGUGCUUUGACAAGAAGGCUGUACUCUGUAGGCACCUAUUUCUGGGGCAUUAUUUUGAUCAUUGAUGACAAUUGGAUAUUGUAUAAAGUCAUAUAACAUUAAUACUGUGUUAUUGUGCUGUUCUAUUUUUUUAAAUAUCUGCUGUUGUAAAGUUGCACUUAAGGUUGGUGUUAUUACAUAAUUACUGAUGUUACUUCAUUGUUUCACAAAUUCUGGGCCAUUACUUAAGACUUAAUUAAUUGUGAUUAAAGGCACACACAUUUAGGUGAAUGUGUUUAUAAUUGCAGUGUUCUGUUUGAAGCUUAUUGUUGUAUGUAAAGUUGCAUUUUAGCAACUUGCCUGCAAGACAAGCAAUAAUAUAUUGAUAGCAGUGCACUUUUAGAGAAGUAUUUAGUCUAUUUUUUUACUAGUCUGCUUUAUUUUGU
This is a long non-coding RNA of Colossoma macropomum (tambaqui), 2189 nucleotides long. RefSeq lists it as uncharacterized. The record is from RefSeq and is a predicted model, not a curated record. The transcript has 6 exons. NCBI's taxonomy places the organism in Eukaryota, Metazoa, Chordata, Actinopteri, Characiformes, Serrasalmidae.